This 173-nucleotide ribosomal RNA is filed under the name uncultured bacterium. Its description in RNAcentral is "partial 16S ribosomal RNA". It matches the Rfam family "Bacterial small subunit ribosomal RNA", at positions 1321 to 1500 of the family's 1533-position model. The record is from RNAcentral.
CGAAGUUGGAUUCGCUAGUAAUCGCGCAUCAGCCAUGGCGCGGUGAAUACGUUCCCGGGCCUUGUACACACCGCCCGUCAAGCCAUGGGAGCCCGGGGGCGCCUGAAGUCCGGGACCGCGAGGACCGGCCUAGGGCGAAACUGGUAACUGGGGCUAAGUCGUAACAAGGUAGC